AACGCUAGCGGCAGGCCUAAUACAUGCAAGUCGAGGGGUAACAGGAAGUGCUUGCACUUCGCUGACGACCGGCGCACGGGUGAGUAUCGCGUAUACAAUCUGCCUCAUACUAGGGAAUAGCCCGAAGAAAUUUGGAUUAAUGCCCUAUAGUAUCUUUUUAAGGCAUCUUAUUAAGAUUAAAGGUUACGGUAUGAGAUGAGUAUGCGUUCUAUUAGCUAGUAGGUGUGGUAACGGCACACCUAGGCUACGAUAGAUAGGGGCCCUGAGAGGGGGAUCCCCCACACUGGUACUGAGACACGGACCAGACUCCUACGGGAGGCAGCAGUAAGGAAUAUUGGUCAAUGGACGAAAGUCUGAACCAGCCAUGCCGCGUGCAGGAUGACUGCCCUAUGGGUUGUAAACUGCUUUUAUAUAGGAAGAAAAACUUUCUCGUGAGAAAGCUUGACGGUACUAUAAGAAUAAGGAUCG
RNAcentral lists this ribosomal RNA (468 nucleotides) under uncultured Bacteroidota bacterium. Its description in RNAcentral is "bacterial SSU rRNA". It matches the Rfam family "Bacterial small subunit ribosomal RNA", at positions 32 to 495 of the family's 1533-position model. The record is from RNAcentral. Lineage: Bacteria; Pseudomonadati; Bacteroidota.